This 279-nucleotide ribosomal RNA is filed under the name uncultured bacterium. Its description in RNAcentral is "partial 16S ribosomal RNA". It matches the Rfam family "Bacterial small subunit ribosomal RNA", at positions 505 to 784 of the family's 1533-position model. The record is from RNAcentral.
GUGCAACAGCCGCGGUAAUACGGAGGGUGCAAGCGUUGUUCGGAAUUAUUGGGCGUAAAGCGCACGUAGGCGGAUUGGAAAGUUGGGGGUGAAAUCCCGGGGCUCAACCCCGGAACUGCCUCCAAAACUAUCAGUCUAGAGUUCGAGAGAGGUGAGUGGAACUCCGAGUGUAGAGGUGAAAUUCGUAGAUAUUCGGAAGAACACCAGUGGCGAAGGCGGCUCACUGGCUCGAUACUGACGCUGAGGUGCGAAAGUGUGGGGAGCAAACAGGAUUAGAUA